CUGUUUUGUUAAUUUUUCUGUUGCUUUCAAGUCUACAAGGUUGAUUUUGAUUAAGACAUUUGAUGCCUUUAAGUUAUUGUAAUUGUGAAUUUAAGUUAUUGAUUCUGCCACCUUUUUACAUCUGUCUGUUGGUUUUUAUUUUAUACAGUCUGAGUAUUGUAUGGUCAGAAAGAGAACGAGAGAAAAGCUGGGGUCUUUUUAGUGUUCUCACCCUGUGGUGUAUUUUUUUUUUCUCUCUAGACUAUUGCUGUUUAAAAAAAAAAAUCAAACUGUGCCCGAUAUAUUAUUUCAGGCCAAUCUUGAGUGUCGUUCACCCUCAAAUACGCAAACUACAUUUGUUAUAAAUUUGUGGAUUUAUAAAAUCCUGCCGACAGGUAUUUGGAGGGCUUGAGUUUUGUUGUUAACUUUCUCUGUACAGCUAGUGAGCAACUGACGGUCCAUUGAUUGUUUCUCAGUAUUGUGUAUUAUAUUUUUACAUCUGCCCUGUUCCUUUCCAGGCAUUGAAAAUCUAGUUAUGAUUUACAAGUAUUGCAGUCCUUUUAUUUUUACGUUUAUUUUUUCCAUCAUUGGCAUCUUUUUACGUUGGGGUCCCUGGGAAUCUAUAAUAGGUUUUGAAAAAUAUACACAUAAUCCAACUGCAAGAAAAUAAAUGCAAACAUUUAAACUCCA
Sinocyclocheilus anshuiensis is the source of this 669-nucleotide long non-coding RNA. RefSeq lists it as uncharacterized. NCBI's taxonomy places the organism in Eukaryota, Metazoa, Chordata, Actinopteri, Cypriniformes, Cyprinidae. The transcript has 2 exons. The record is from RefSeq and is a predicted model, not a curated record.